Molecule: ribosomal RNA, 572 nt
Filed under: Triticum aestivum (bread wheat)
Lineage: Eukaryota; Viridiplantae; Streptophyta; Magnoliopsida; Poales; Poaceae
Description: partial small subunit ribosomal RNA
Source: RNAcentral
AUGGCCGGAAUUGUCCACAAGGAGUUUCCUGAGUUGGCCCAGACAGGGCUGAACUACCUGUCAUGGUCCUCGGACUGCGAGAUCUUUCUCCAGGGCAAAACCCUCCUGAGGGCGAUCGGUAAGGGGGCCCAGUUGGCCGUCACUGAUCCCAAGUUCGAGACUGAGAAUGCGCAGGCUCUGCAUUUUCUCCGUCAUCACCUGUCACCUACUCUGAAAGAUGAGUAUAUGGCUGAGCGCAGUGCUUCUGGCCUUUGGACCGCUCUUAAGCAGCGGUUUGAGCGGCUGAAGUACACUGUGAAGCCACGUGCAGAGGCAGAGUGGAUCCGUCUGAGGUUUGCGGACUUCAAGACGGUUGGGGAGUACAAUUCGGCUCUGCACCGGAUUUGUACGACUCUUCGGUUGUGUGGUACUGAGAUUACCGACUCCCAGAAGAUUGAGAAAACCCUAUCCACUUUCCACCCCGACGCGGUCCAGUCCUCACGGAACUACCGCCAGGGGAACUACACGAGGUAUUCAGAGUUGAUUGACGUCCUCCAGGUGGCGGAGGCGCAAGACGAGGUUCUCAAAAAGAA